RNAcentral lists this ribosomal RNA (521 nucleotides) under uncultured bacterium. Its description in RNAcentral is "bacterial SSU rRNA". It matches the Rfam family "Bacterial small subunit ribosomal RNA", at positions 8 to 518 of the family's 1533-position model. The record is from RNAcentral.
AGAGUUGUAGUCCUGGCUCACGGAGUGAACGACGUGGCGGCGGUGCCUAAUACAUGCAAGUCGAGCGAGGUAGCUUGCUACCUAGCGGCGGAACGGGUGAGUAACACGUAGGUAACCUGCCUUUAAGACUGGGAUACCCAGGCGAAAGUUUGGCUAAUACCGGAUAACAACGGGGACGGCAUCGCCCCCGCUGAAAGCCGCGCUUGCGGCGCUUUUAGAUGGACCUGCGGCACAUUAGCUAGUUGGCGGGGCAACGGCCCACCAAGGCGAGGAUGUGUAGCCGACCUGAGAGGGUGACCGGCCACAAUGGGACUGAGACACGGCCCAUACUCCUACGGGAGGCAGCAGUAGGGAGUUUUUCGGCAAUGGGCGAAAGCCUGACCGAGCAACGCCGCGUGAGUGAUUGAAGGUCUUCGGAUUGUAAAGCUCUGUUGCGAGGGACGAACAACGCGGCCAGGAAAUGGGCCGCGCCUGACGGUACCUCGCCAGAAAGUGACGGCUAACUACGUGCCAGCCGCUGC